GUCCAGACUCCUACGGGAGGCAGCAGUGAGGAAUAUUGGUCAAUGGGCGGGAGCCUGAACCAGCCAAGUCGCGUGAGGGAAGAAGGUACUGAGUAUUGUAAACCUCUUUUGCCAGGGGACAAAGGCGGCCACGGGUGGCCGUAAGAGGGUACCUGGAGAAAAAGCAUCGGCUAACUCCGUGCCAGCAGCCGCGGUAAUACGGAGGAUGCGAGCGUUAUCCGGUUUUAUUGGGUUUAAAGGGUGCGUAGGCGGCUCGUUAAGGCAGGGGUAAAAUGGGGGGGCACACCCCCUGCCCGCCAUUGAAACUGGCGUUCUUGAGUGGAAGAGAAGUAUGCGGAAUGCGUGGUGUAGCGGUGAAAUGCUUAGAUAUCACGAAGAACCCCGAUUGCGAAGGCAGCUUACUAAACUGUGACUGACAUUGAUGCUCGAAAGUGUGGGUAUCAAACAGGAUUAGAUACCCGUGUAGC
This 467-nucleotide ribosomal RNA is filed under the name uncultured bacterium. RNAcentral's name for it is "partial 16S ribosomal RNA". It matches the Rfam family "Bacterial small subunit ribosomal RNA", at positions 329 to 794 of the family's 1533-position model. The record is from RNAcentral.